GAGUUUGAUUCUGGCUCAGAACGAACGCUGGCGGCAGGCCUAAGACAUGCAAGUCGUACGAGAAAGCCCUUUCGGGGGUGAGUAGAGUGGCGAACGGGUUAGUAACGCGUGGGAACAUACACAGCACAGGGGGAUAACCAUUGGAAACGAUGGCUAAUACCGCAUACGCCCUAUGGGGGAAAGAUUUAUCGGUGUUGGAUUGGCCCGCGUUAGAUUAGCUAGUUGGUGGGGUAAUGGCCUACCAAGGCGACGAUUUAUAGCUGGUUUGAGAGGAUGAUCAGCAACACUGGAACUGAGACACGGUCCAGACUCCUACGGGAGGCAGCAGUCGGGAAUAUUGUGCAAUGGGGGCAACCCUGACACAGCCAUGCCGCGUGAGUGAAGAAGGCCUUAGGGUUGUAAAGCUCUUUCAGAUGUGAGGAUGAUGACGAUAGCAUCACAAGAAGCUCCGGCUAACUUCGUGCCAGCAGCCGCGGUAAUACGAAGGGAGCAAGCGUUGUUCGGAAUUACUGGGCGUAAAGGGCGUGUAGGCGGAUUAUCAAGUUAGGGGUGAAAUCCCGGGGCUCAACCUCGGCACUGCCUUUAAGACUGAUAAUCUAGAGUAUGUGAGGGGAUAAUGGAAUACCUAGUGUAGAGGUGAAAUUCGUAGAUAUUAGGUGGAACACCAGUGGCGAAGGCGAUUAUCUGGCACAUUACUGACGCUGAGGCGCGAAAGCGUGGGGAGCAAACGGGAUUAGAUACCCCGGUAGUCCACGCCGUAAACGAUGUAUACUAGUUGUCGGGCAUUGGUUCGGUGACGCAGCUAACGCAUUAAGUAUACCGCCUGGGGAGUACGGUCGCAAGAUUAAAACUCAAAGAAAUUGACGG
RNAcentral lists this ribosomal RNA (867 nucleotides) under uncultured Alphaproteobacteria bacterium. Its description in RNAcentral is "bacterial SSU rRNA". It matches the Rfam family "Bacterial small subunit ribosomal RNA", at positions 9 to 916 of the family's 1533-position model. Lineage: Bacteria; Pseudomonadati; Pseudomonadota; Alphaproteobacteria. The record is from RNAcentral.